UGCAUUGCGAUACUAUCUGUAUUGCUAUACGCAUUUUUUGUAUGUGCCAAAAGGCAAGCAGAGACACAAAAAACCUCAAGGGCUUAAACUAACAAUGAGACAUAAAACCAUCAAUAAGCAGCUGAAGAGCUAUCAGUGUGCUUGUUUAAGAAAACUUUUUAGCCUCAACAAAGCCCCGCUUGUGUCGUGGUAACAGCUAGCAGUGGAAACGUGCGGUAUUGGUUGCUGUACAAACAUAUUACAAGACGCUCGUGUGAAUCUCCAGUCUAAACAGGCGAUAUAAGGUUUGAUAGGAAGACAAGCACUGAGCUCGGGUUAUCGCAUUAUAUCAGGCUGUUAUGGUGCCAUCUUCCAGCCUGAAGUGCAUGAACUGCCCUUGCUUACUUGGCGCAUCCCCAGUGAUGGGCAGCAAAGCCCAUCAGGGCUGGGGACGAAGGACUGUCCCGUGAGGCACCGGUCUGGCCUUGGGGAGAGAGAAAGGGCUUGCUUUCCUGGAAUACUUCUUUGACAUGACUGCAGGGGGUUCAAAGGAGGGCCAUGAAGAUGAUGAAAGGGCUGUAGUACCUGGCCUGUUAGAAAAAGACUGAAGGAGUUGGGUCAUUCCACUCUGGAGAAGAGAAGGCUCAGGGUGGGGACCUCACCAUAAUAUUCUAGCACUUAAAGGGUGGCUACAAAGAGGAUAGAAGCUCUCCCUUCACAAGGACCCACAUGGAGAAGACAAGGGGCAACGAACACAAGUUGCACUGGAACAGAUCUUGUCUUGAUAUAAGAAAUUUUCUAUAGUGAGACCAACAGGAACAACCUCCACAGGGAUGUGGCAGGACCCCCGUCACUGGAUGUUUUCAAGAUGUGGUUGGGCUGGGUGCUAGAUAAGCUCACCUACUCUCCCUUUCCCACAAAAGGCAAGACCUGAUGAUCUUUCAAGGGCCCUUCCAAACUGGGCUCUUCAAUGAUUCCGUGACAAGGGGGGAUUCACCCCUGGCUCACUGCAUCCAUGACGUUUGAUAUUUUCCAGUGCUCCUUCAUACUUCCGUUCUUAGGGGUGAUGGCGAAGCCC
Molecule: long non-coding RNA, 1057 nt
Filed under: Cairina moschata (Muscovy duck)
Lineage: Eukaryota; Metazoa; Chordata; Aves; Anseriformes; Anatidae
Description: domestica (muscovy Duck (domestic type)) lncRNA (ENSCMMG00000005698.1)
Source: RNAcentral